Molecule: long non-coding RNA, 221 nt
Filed under: Elaeis guineensis (African oil palm)
Lineage: Eukaryota; Viridiplantae; Streptophyta; Magnoliopsida; Arecales; Arecaceae
Description: long non-coding RNA (EGUI_LNC013856)
Source: RNAcentral
AGUGGAUACCCAUAGAAUCUGGACAUUUAUGCGGCUAGAAGAAAAUCUCAUCUCUUCCAAAUUUAGAUUUGAAGAAAAAAAUUAUAAAACAGAUAUGUGAAUUGAUCACAAUCUGAAUUUCAGCAUAUGUCAAUUUUAGCACAUGAACUAGAUCUUUGUAGUUUUAUAUUGUUAUGCAUACAUGAUUUAGAUUAAAAAUAUUUUAAUCUUAUAUUUUACUA